This is a long non-coding RNA of Manis pentadactyla (Chinese pangolin), 2997 nucleotides long. RefSeq lists it as uncharacterized. NCBI's taxonomy places the organism in Eukaryota, Metazoa, Chordata, Mammalia, Pholidota, Manidae. The record is from RefSeq and is a predicted model, not a curated record. The transcript has 4 exons.
AAUACUAAUCCUGAAACUAUUCUGUAAAUUCUCCAUAGGUAAGUGCUAAUACUCGCCUGAGCAUCCCACCUAGUGGUUAGUGAGGACAGAUUAAAUGCACAGACGCGACACAGCACAGGAGGCACAUGCAGUCUUGGCCACCCUACUAUCCAGUUCUUGCAAAGCCACUACCCAGAAACUGAUGCUUGGUUCCUCUGCAUGCUCUUUAAGGUCACAGUCACCUCUAUGAGCAAACUCCAUGGGCAAGAGUUGUUUUGCAUGCAAAAGGCUUACUUCUUAUGAGUACACCAAAAAUACCCUAACACAAUGGGUUGUUAUUGAUUAAAACAUCCUUUUUUUUGAAACUCUGAGCUAUUGAUCCUACGACCUACUAAAUACACUUUUUUUCUCCUUGGUCGUAGCAACAAACGCAAGUGGGUAGAAUGCAUUACAAAGUAUGCCUCAUUAAUUAUUACUUAAUACUGUGCUGCUCAUUUUGGUUCCAAGAAGUACACUGCCUCAAGGCAAAAUGGAAGUUCUGAUUUAUUUUGCAAAGAUAAAUGACAAAAGACAUGUGAAUUUUUAAGUAGCUGGAAGGAAGCUGGUUUUUCGAUCUGAUUCAACUCCCAACCUUCACCUGGUAGUGGCCAAGACAUUUCUAUGAAGAGAAAAUAGCUCACUCUUUCCAGAGAUUUUAGUCAUUUAUUCCAAGGAAAGCAAAAUAUUUCCAUAGCUUGUAUACUAUCUGUUAAUUAAUUGGACCUAUUUUCACAUUAGGUUGUUGCCUGUUUCUGUUUUGCUUUGUUCUUCCUUAAUUGUUCUUACUGAACUCAGCUUCACAUAAUCCUCUGAGCAAUAGCCCCAAAAUUGCAGUGUUGUGUUUAACCUAUUUCUAAGAUAAAAUAAACUGCUUUCCUCCAUACUUAAGUGGAAAUCUCCUCUUAUUGUUCUUAUGCACCAUAUUCUUUUCUGGGAUGUUAUUCCUCAUAAAAGCUUUUUCUUAUUACAGAACAUGGGACACAUGAACAGCUUGGACCUUCUGAUGUAGAGUGGUGAGACUGUUCUAGAAAUUUGAAAUUUGAGUGGACCACUGAGGGAGACCAUGGAGUCAGAAGCUGAAGGGUUGGAGGUUUUAUCCUAUUUGCAAACUAACAAGUUAUACACAGCCUCAGACGAGGCCUCAAAGAAGCCAUUGAAGAUGCUUAUCAGUUUAGACAGUGUCUAUGGAGCCUAGAGGUUGCUCGAAGAGACCUCAGGUUCCACCAGGCAUUGAAUUUUCAGACAGCUCUGCAUGUGGAUGGAGAUAGACACCCUCGCGAACACAUACCACUUCCUGAAGAACUCAACACUGACAGUUUGGAAGAAAAUGCAAAUUUGUUUUUAUCAGAUAAACUUAGGAAAACACUACUGAAAAAUCUACUCAUUUCAAAAGAGGAGUGUCCAAGUGCUUACAAUGUCACCCGAAGUGCUUAAAGAAGCGGCCCUCACCAGCUAUGUUGCCUGGGAGCUGCCCAGCCCGAAGAAAGCCCAGACUGUGACUGCUUUAGUCAAUGUGUUUGGAAGUAGAAGCAAGAAAUCCCCAGGAUGUGAACAUCUCCAGUCUGUAGGCAUAGACUACAAUAAAUUUAUAUAUCCCUGAUCAUCUUGGGCAAUCGUUUUUUCUUGGCUGUUUAUAGGCAUGGAUUUUCCACUCAUGCAUCUUGUGCCAUGUCCUCCAGAGAAAUUCAGUAAGAUUUUCACAGCAUAUUCACUAUACUUGAAUGCAUGCCAAAUCAACAUUUAUUAGAUGUUUCUGAAUUUGAUUAUUUCAAUGGAUAUUUUUGGCAUUUUAGAAAAAAAUCCGGUUUUUAAUUUAAAGAAUUGCUCCUCUAUCCUAUCCUAUUCUAACCAUUAUAGCUUGCCCCUCCAGGACUCUAAUCUUUUCCUUCUUCAGGUCUUCAUGGCUCCUGUACCACCCUUGCAAAAUAUUGUAUUUUACCUCUUAUUGUUUGUAUUUAUGUCCUUCAUUAGGCUGAAAGUUAUUUAAGGCGGGAUUUGCCUUACUCAUCUUUGUAUUGUCUCUAACAUUUAGCAAGUGUUAGGAAAUAAGUGUUGAGAUUAAUUUUAUAUAAUUACUUGGCAUAAACGGUAUGAGUUAUACUUUCCUAGAUAAUUAGUACAAAAUACCACAGAUUGCAUUCAUUGUAUCACUCACAUCCAUCAAUCAAAAGCCUCUGUUCAUUACUCUGCAUUUUUAAUGGUUAAUGUCACUAAAAAUCUCCUAGAUAUCUCCCCAUCACCUCCACGAAUUCCCUCCUUCAUCAGGCACCGGGUCCUAUUGUUUCUUUUCUGCAAUUUUUCCUCCUUAGUUUCAUUUCUUCUGUCUUGUCAGAGGUCUAUUAUUUCAUAAGAGGCUCUGUGUAAGACCUUGCUAAUUUGUCUUACUCCCCUCUCGUGAAUCACCCUCACCACUGGCCAAGGUAACCUUCCUAACACAGAUUAAGAUCUUAUUUUUCUUCCUCAAAGACAAAAGACCACUAUCAAUUACCCCAAACCUAAGUGGUUUCUCCCCUGGCCCUCAAUGAUUACAAGUCAGGCCUAAUUUUUAGUUCAUCAGCUCCACAAACCCCACACUCAGGCAGCCUAGGUCAUUCACCAGUUCCAACAUUUUACACACUUUUUAUCACCUGAUAGCUUUGCCUAGACAGUUUCCCAAAAUUUCAAAAAUUCUGUAUGAAGCUCAGAUUUAUGUAGAGUUGAGUUCAAGAGAGGUAAAAGGGAAGUACCUGAAACUUCUUCAGCCGUUAGCAGUCCUGCAUUUCUUUAUCCAUAAGAGUACAGAAGAACUAAAGCCAGAGGCAGAGACACUCAACAUUACCCCUAUGAUAUAUACCAUUCAGGUAUCAAACUCCUGGAAAGCAAAAAGUGAUUAUACAUUUUGACUGUGCAAGGACAGGGAUUUUUGUUUUGUUCCCUGAUCUCCCAAGUACCCAGAACAGUGUCUGCCACACAGUAGAAAUUAAUAAACACCUGUUGCAU